AUUACAGUAGUUUAAAUCUAAAACACUAAUUUGUGGAAUUAAAAAUAUUAGUCUAACCUAAUCUAUAAUC
Molecule: transfer RNA, 70 nt
Filed under: Euretaster insignis
Lineage: Eukaryota; Metazoa; Echinodermata; Asteroidea; Velatida; Pterasteridae
Description: tRNA-His
Rfam family: tRNA
About the family: Transfer RNA (tRNA) molecules are approximately 80 nucleotides in length.
Source: RNAcentral